CCUACGGGAGGCAGCAGUAAGGAAUAUUGGUCAAUGGAGGCAACUCUGAACCAGCCAUGCCGCGUGCAGGAAGAAGGCCCUAUGGGUCGUAAACUGCUUUUGUACCAGAGAAAACCCGAGUACGUGUACUCGGUUGAUAGUAUGGUAAGAAUAAGCAUCGGCUAACUUCGUGCCAGCAGCCGCGGUAAGACGAAGGAUGCAAGCGUUAUCCGGAUUCAUUGGGUUUAAAGGGUGCGUAGGCGGACUGAUAAGUCAGUGGUGAAAUCUCUCAGCUUAACUGAGAAACUGCCAUUGAUACUGUUAGUCUAGAGUAUAGAUGACGUUGGCGGAAUAUGACAUGUAGUGGUGAAAUACUUAGAUAUGUCAUAGAACACCGAUUGCGAAGGCAGCUAACGAAACUAUAACUGACGCUGAGGCACGAAAGUGCGGGGAUCAAACAGGAUUAGAUACCCUGGUAGUCCGCACCGUAAACGAUGAUUACUCGUUGUUGGCAAUAUGACCGUCAGCGACCAAGCGAAAGCGAUAAGAAUCCACCUGGGGAGUACGCCGGCGAACGGUGAAACGUCAAAGAUUAGAGGACGAGAGAGAGCGACGGACGACGACGAGGGAGGGAGG
RNAcentral lists this ribosomal RNA (615 nucleotides) under uncultured bacterium. RNAcentral's name for it is "bacterial SSU rRNA". It matches the Rfam family "Bacterial small subunit ribosomal RNA", at positions 338 to 956 of the family's 1533-position model. The record is from RNAcentral.